Bicyclus anynana (squinting bush brown) is the source of this 975-nucleotide long non-coding RNA. RefSeq lists it as uncharacterized. The record is from RefSeq and is a predicted model, not a curated record. Lineage: Eukaryota; Metazoa; Arthropoda; Insecta; Lepidoptera; Nymphalidae. The transcript has 2 exons.
UUAGUUUAGGUAUUUCAGUUAUAACGAUACCUACUUGAUAUCGUUCCGAUGCCCGCCGUUAACUUCUCAACCCUACUGAUUGUCUUUGAUUCAUAGUCGGCCAUUAUUGUUGUGUAAAAAAGUCAUCUAAGUAAAUUUCGAGUUUACGUAUGGACGUUUGUUACCUUUUCACGUAAAAAGUACAGAACUACUUUUAACUCUGAAAAACGCAUGGUUCCUGCGGAAAUUGUGGAAAACUAAAUAUCACGCGGAUGUCGUCCUCUAAUUCUUUAAUAAUAAAUUAUAUCAUCCCUUAAAUAAUAAAUUAUAAAAUUACCACAUGGAUGUGGAACUGUCACAAUGUUGAAGUUUAUUGAACACACCUUGCUUAUCAAUAGUAACCUGCAUUCAUCACUUAAAGCCAAAAAUUAAAUAAAAUGUCUCUCACUCAUUCUCUAAGGUUUUUCGCGUUGCCGUGGCCGUACGGGUCUAUAUAUUACUCUCCUAUAGGGAUCCUUGUGAUCUGUGGUAUUUAAUAGUUUAUAUUACUUGCUGGUACUGUAGCUUUUCAGUGAUGGUUUUCAAUUAUUUUUUAAAUACGGCUUAGACGUAAAACCGUAACAAACAAACAAACUCACAUUCUUUUUUAUAAUAAUGGGCAGGAUGUAUGUAUAAUUGAAUACGAAUUUGUGUGUGGGUGUAAUAUAUCUACCUACGUACGUCUACCUAUUUAAUUGAAGUUUCUCAUAUUAGCAUAACCUGAUGCAAAGUGACGUCUAAAUUUAGCACUAUGAAUAAUGUAUGGACGAAUGAAGCAGAAAGCUUAUUCCGUUUUAGAAGACUCGUGGAGAGAAGAGGAAGCUGUGAGGAAGAUAAAGAGAGAUAAGGAGAUGACUUUAUUGAAACAGAAGAUAGCUAAAGAGGAAGCCGAAACAGUCAAAUUACUCGAAACUGGGGAACUUUUUAAAUAAAGUAUUAUUGAUAUUAUUGGUGUGA